GUGAGCGUUUUUGAGCUCACCCUAUGCUGAGCUCACUGGAUAUUUUUUGUAUUAGAUUAAAUUAUCUAUUAUUAUAUAUUUAAUCUUAUCCUAAUAGAUUAAUAUAUUACAUUAACUUAAUCUAUUAUCAUAAUAGAUCGAUUAGAUUAAUAAUAGAUUAAUCUAUUAAUCCACUUGCCUGUUAAUAUGUUCUACGGAGGUUCUGGGAGUUUGCCUUCGUCCGGUCAUAUCCAGCUCUGCUGAGUACAUUUCCACCUCCACGGUUACUCGAAGCUUCUCGCGAUCUGCUCUAUAGUCUCCUCGCGAUCUGCUCAACUAUCUCUGCCGCAUCAAGCACUUGGUCUCCUUGCUUAACAGCAAAUAGGAAGAUUAAAGCUCAGACUUGAUAUAAGGGAUUGAUCCCGCCCGCUUGCUGCCUCAGACACCCAGGGUCAUUAGAUCUUGGAUCGGGGCACCCAAAUCGACAGGUCGAUUGGUUCUUACGUUACUGAAUCUUUUUAGGUUCGUUUCACCUUCGUCCGGUCAAAUCUGAUCGGCACCACCACCUAUGUUCUGGGCAGUGCUAUCUCCACCACAACCACAUAUGCUCUGUGCCAGUGCUAUCUCGAAGAGAUUUAUAGUUCCAUCAUCAAGUCAACAUGUCUCCAUGUUUUGAUGGACGUGAUACUUCGAC
Molecule: long non-coding RNA, 673 nt
Filed under: Zostera marina
Lineage: Eukaryota; Viridiplantae; Streptophyta; Magnoliopsida; Alismatales; Zosteraceae
Description: long non-coding RNA (ZMAR_LNC004219)
Source: RNAcentral